This 232-nucleotide ribosomal RNA is filed under the name uncultured bacterium. Its description in RNAcentral is "partial 16S ribosomal RNA". It matches the Rfam family "Bacterial small subunit ribosomal RNA", at positions 104 to 334 of the family's 1533-position model. The record is from RNAcentral.
CGGGGUGAGUAACGCGUGGAUAACCUGCCUCACACUGGGGGAUAACAGUUAGAAAUGGCUGCUAAUACCGCAUAAGCGCACAGUACCGCAUGGUACGGUGUGAAAAACCCAGGUGGUGUGAGAUGGAUCCGCGUCUGAUUAGCCAGUUGGCGGGGUAACGGCCCACCAGAGCGACGAUCAGUAGCCGACCUGAGAGGGUGACCGGCCACAUUGGGACUGAGACACGGCCCAA